GCCUGGUAUGAUGGUUCAUGCCUGUAAUCCCAACACUGGGAGGCUGAGAUGGGAGGAUCGCUUGAGGCCAGGAGUUUGAGACCAGCCUGGUCAACAUAGUGAGACCCCAUCUCUA
RNAcentral lists this small RNA (115 nucleotides) under Macaca fascicularis (crab-eating macaque). Its description in RNAcentral is "Metazoan signal recognition particle RNA (ENSMFAG00000050366.1)". Lineage: Eukaryota; Metazoa; Chordata; Mammalia; Primates; Cercopithecidae. The record is from Rfam by way of RNAcentral.